This 93-nucleotide small RNA is filed under the name Olea europaea subsp. europaea. Lineage: Eukaryota; Viridiplantae; Streptophyta; Magnoliopsida; Lamiales; Oleaceae. The record is from RNAcentral.
GUUGGGUGCAGCAACGCGUGCCUGUAACCCAAGUGGGGGCAUCAAGGUGACUGAAGGUUGAUUGUGGCAGCACCACCACCAUUGGGGACCUUU